UACGGGGAGGGUAAGCGUUGUUCGGAAUUACUGGGCGUAAAGGGCUCGUAGGCGGCCAACUAAGUCAGACGUGAAAUCCCUCAGCUUAACUGGGGAACUGCGUCUGAUACUGGAUGGCUUGGAUUCGGGAGAGGAAUGCGGAAUUCCAGGUGUAGCGGUGAAAUGCGUAGAUAUCUGGAGGAACACCGGUGGCGAAGGCGGCAUUCUGGACCGAUAUUGACGCUGAGGAGCGAAAGCCAGGGGAGCAAACGGG
RNAcentral lists this ribosomal RNA (253 nucleotides) under uncultured bacterium. RNAcentral's name for it is "partial 16S ribosomal RNA". It matches the Rfam family "Bacterial small subunit ribosomal RNA", at positions 524 to 776 of the family's 1533-position model. The record is from RNAcentral.